Molecule: long non-coding RNA, 1646 nt
Organism: Lycium ferocissimum
Lineage: Eukaryota; Viridiplantae; Streptophyta; Magnoliopsida; Solanales; Solanaceae
Exons: 2
Source: RefSeq, a predicted model, not a curated record
AUUUCCAAUUAAAAGUAGAUCUCGAGAGUGUUGGACUAAAAUUGAGAUUAGUGAACAAGUUGAAUGGUUAAGCACUUUCUGAAAAGUCACAUGGCAUAGUAACAUAAUUCUUUUGAGGAAGGUUUUGCAACAAAAAUUUUAAAGCCAUAGUAGUGUUAUAUGCAAUAUGUUUUUUCAGAGGACUAAUGAGCAUAACAAAUUUGUGCUGGGUUCAUUUGGAGUUUUUGGAGUUUUGGGAUCAACCUUUUAUGAUAUGAUGGAGAACCUUUGGGUUCUCUUUGAAUGGUGAACACCCUGUCCCAGUAUAUACUAGGUUGGGAUGGUUUUCUGGUAAUGAUUUUACAUGGACCUAAAAUAAAUGAUCAAGCAGAUCUUGUGGUGACGGUUUACUUUUUUUACUAUGCAUUUUGCCUAACUACUCUUUUAUUUGCUUUAUUUUACACACUUUGAAUUAUCUAUUGAUAAGUAAUCCUACAAUGAAGAACCCCUACCUUUUGAUUUGCUUCAUUAUUAUUUGCUGGACUCAUCAACUGGUAAUGAUUUGAUGCAGGAUAAAAAAGCAUUUUGUGGUGGUGAUGAUUAUUCAUAAAGUAAAGCAGGAUGGCUACGCUGAUUUGAAACUUCUUCAUCGCCUCAUUAUUUUAGAUACAGAACUACUCAUCAAUUAUCAUUGUUCACCUCGAGGUCAUUGAUGGAAGGCCUGGAACAAGGUCAGUCGAGUCAUUCGUGGUGGAUGUUCCAGAUGGGAAUACAAAGGAUGAAACAUGUUACUUCGUCGAUGUCCUCAUCCGGUGUAACCUCAAAUCACUAGCUGAUGUGCUUCCUUUUUCAUUGUCUGCAAGGCACCUCAGUUUGUAAAAUGCAACUGGCUAUUUCAUAAUGUGAAGAAUCAACCAUGCUAUUUGUGGCUGUGUGAAUGUAUCGAGCUUAGGUUGCAAAUAUCUAUGCUCAUUAUUGUGAUUAUGACACUAUAAGCUUGUGUAUCCUUAAAUUUGGUGCGUUAAUGAGUACUAGAAACAGUAUUGGUAAAUUAAAAAUAGUGUGCCUUGCUUUUUGUUGUAUAUUUCACUAUCCCUAUUCUUUCUGGAUAUUGUAUUAUCUCCUCUGCAUCACACUCUAUCUAUGUAACUUCCCUUUGGCAUAAUUUCUUCUUAAGAAAUCAUGCAGUGCUUGAACACCAAAAGAAAAAACCUUAAAAGAGACACCUAAAGGUGUGGUAUAGCGGUCAAUGAAGAUGAUUAAGAAUCGCGGGAGAUCAGGAUUUCAGAAGAGGCAAAAAUUAUUAAGUGAUUUUUUUCUAUCCAUUGAAUUACAAUUCAGUUAAUGUCCUCAAACAAAUCUCGACCACGCAUCACACGGGUAUGUAUACUAGUAAGUUAUUAAACUAACAGUGGGCUAAACAGCAUUAAACUGGCUAGGUUUCCAUUGCGAUGCUUCCAUGGAUGAGAGGAGAGGGGAAAUGGCAGCGGCGAUGUGGUAGAUUCCGGUGGCGGAGAACGGCGGUGGAUUCGGCCAUAAGAUUGUUGAAAUUAGUUUUUCUUUUUUCAUUGUUGAAAUAGUUGUCAGAAUAAAUAAUACUGUAAGAGGUUAAGCUUUGUAUUUUUAAAGAUCAAAUUAAUGCUAAACUCUAAUAAUUGGAUAAGGAA